Non-coding RNA from Pelobates cultripes (western spadefoot toad), 1531 nucleotides. The record is from the annotation of a GenBank genome assembly. NCBI's taxonomy places the organism in Eukaryota, Metazoa, Chordata, Amphibia, Anura, Pelobatidae.
AUGAUGGCCAUCGCUAACCCCACUUUUGAAGAUACCAUGGCCGCUGAAACUGGAUUCAAUGACAUUAAUUUGUGGUUAGAAUGGAUGAGGUAUAAUGCUAACAAACAUAAUAAAACAGCAUGUUAUGUAUGUGGCGGUGCCCGACCCCACCUUGGCACCGUCCCCCUAACUCUCCCUUUAGAGAUAGAAGAUUGCUUCUUAAGCCUUUUUACCUACCAAUAUGACUUUAAUAGGUCCCUCUGCAUGGCAUGGACGGCAGAAUACCCUCUCUUAGUUGAAAAUGUUAAGCCACCAGAUGGAGUCACAGUCUAUAGAGGUAAUUACACUUGUUAUGCCAUGUAUGACGGGAUUGGUAAAUUCAUGGGUAACUUUUCUAAAGGUUAUUGCGCCACUUACAGAACUGUUCCUAUACGCCUGUUGCAACACCAUACCAGGUCAUUGGGGGAUAUUUACUGGUUAUGUGGGGAUCUACAGUUAAGAUCUAGGCUGGAAACUGAGUGGUGGGGUGAGUGUACCCUGGCCAAAGUUAUCAUGCCCAUUCAUAUUAUUUCUGAUAAUCAUCAUGACACAUACGACCCUCCACAUACAUCAGCCAGAGUAAGGCGCGAAACCCCAGUAAAAGGCAGUUUUGACCCCCACAUUUACAUAGAUGCCAUUGGGGUGCCUAGGGGGGUACCUAAUGAAUUUAAAGCUAGAGAUGAAGUAGCUGUAGGUUUUGAAUCACUUUUUACCAUAGUCACUGCCAACAAAAACCUUAAUUGGAUUAAUUCUAUCUAUUACAACCAACAGCGCUUCGUGAACUACACCAGGGAUGCCCUCCAGGGCUUGGCCGAGCAAUUACAGGCCACAUCCCAAAUGACCUUCCAGAACAGACUGGCCUUAGACAUGAUCUUAGCCGAAAAAGGGGGAGUCUGUAAAAUACUUCCCGACACUAUGACUUGUUGCACUUACAUUCCAGAAAACACAGGUCCUAAUGGUAAAGUCACUCUAGCCAUAGCUAAAUUAAAUAGACUCUCAGAAGAGUUAAAGAGAAACUCUGGAGUUACUGAUCCCUGGGAAAAAUGGUUUGGUUGGAUGACUGGUUGGCAGAGAGCUUUAGUCCAGAUUGGUAUUGCCUUACUAAUUUUUCUUUUUUAUUCUCGCUCUUCUCAUUUGUUGUGUCCUCCCAUGCCUAAGGAAAUUCCUGCAGAAAACUGUAGACCAAGCAACACCAACCUUCACUCAUCUGACAAUCGAUGAUCAAGACCUCAUCUCACCCUGUAUUCCGCUACAAACUCUCCCUUAUACUGAUGAAGUGCAGAAAGUCUAGGAAGGGACAGUACAGGGACAGCGUCCGUCUUUAUGGGUAGACUGCCGUACGGAGAAGUAGUGGAUAAGCCACUAUGGGUUACCAGCGGAGUGAAGAGUGUUCCUGAACCGUACUGACGGAUGUGCUGCAGCCUGUUAGGGUCAAGAGAGGGAUAGACUUGCACUUUGCAUUAACACUAAGUCAGCGGUCAUGGGGUUUCUGUGUCUUUGGGCUAAUACUUCU